RNAcentral lists this small RNA (262 nucleotides) under Histoplasma capsulatum var. duboisii H88. Its description in RNAcentral is "Histoplasma capsulatum H88 hypothetical RNA". The record is from RNAcentral. Lineage: Eukaryota; Fungi; Ascomycota; Eurotiomycetes; Onygenales; Ajellomycetaceae.
CAGUCCAGGCAUAUACAGAUAAGGCUGUUCUCAAGCAUGUUCCUGAGAUUGAGAAUUGCGCCGAUGUAUUCAUCACGAUUGCCAAAAACACGUCCACGACUGGGCAACAGAUUCAAGUUGGUUAACUCAACCACAUAUUCCAAACCCUCGGUCUAUUCGAGUCAUUGACUGUGGCUUAGAUUCCGGGUAUUUAUUCGGUAAUAUCGCCUUGCUUCUGAGGAAUCAAUAGAUCUGUGAUUUAUAUCUUGUGCACUAAAAACUC